This 391-nucleotide long non-coding RNA is filed under the name Nicotiana benthamiana. RNAcentral's name for it is "long non-coding RNA (NBEN_LNC031014)". Lineage: Eukaryota; Viridiplantae; Streptophyta; Magnoliopsida; Solanales; Solanaceae. The record is from RNAcentral.
AAAUUUUUAGAGAAUUCAGAGAUUAAAAAACACUCAAAUUUAGGAAAAACUGGUUGAGUAUUCAAAACACUGAAAUCCAUUAUAAUUUCUGCUGGAAAUUGGUCCAGUUUCUUGUUGGUUCUAUAAUCAGAAAGUUACAAAUGAUUUCUGGGGUUAUUUUUCGACUCUAAAAUUGGUUUUCAAGUCUGGUUGUUAUUGUUUUACUGAAUCAAAUCUGUUGUUGUUGUUCCUUCUUAAACUUCCGGCUCAUUUUCUCAUUGUGUGUUUCUAUAACCAGGUAUGCUCUGGCUUUCGUUUAGCAUGUAAGGUGCAAGUAUGAAUCCAUGUAAUUCGAGUUGAAGGAAAUGAAAAACGUUAGUUCUCUAUUGCUUGAUCAGAUAUUUGAAUGUGC